AUACGUAGGUGGCAAGCGUUGUCCGGAAUUACUGGGUGUAAAGGGCGUGUAGGCGGGGAUGCAAGUCAGGUGUGAAAAACCAUGGCUCAACUGUGGUCUUGCAUCUGAAACUGUAUUUCUUGAGUACUGGAGAGGGAAGUGGAAUUCCUAGUGUAGCGGUGAAAUGCGUAGAGAUUAGGAGGAACACCAGUGGCGAAGGCGGCUUCCUGGCCAGAGACUGACGCUGAGGCGCGAAAGCGUGGGGAGCAAACAGGAUUAGAUACCCUGGUAGUCCACGCCGUAAACGAUGGAUACUAGGUGUAGGUGGUAACAAGCCAUCUGUGCCGGAGCAAACGCAAUAAGUAUCCCACCUGGGGAGUACGGCCGCAAGGCUGAA
This 376-nucleotide ribosomal RNA is filed under the name uncultured bacterium. Its description in RNAcentral is "bacterial SSU rRNA". It matches the Rfam family "Bacterial small subunit ribosomal RNA", at positions 523 to 898 of the family's 1533-position model. The record is from RNAcentral.